This 253-nucleotide ribosomal RNA is filed under the name uncultured bacterium. RNAcentral's name for it is "partial 16S ribosomal RNA". It matches the Rfam family "Bacterial small subunit ribosomal RNA", at positions 524 to 776 of the family's 1533-position model. The record is from RNAcentral.
UACGUAGGCAGCGAGCGUUGUUCGGAGUUACUGGGCGUAAAGCGUGCGUAGGCGGUGUCUUAAGUUUGUUGUGAAAUCUCCCGGCUUAACCGGGAGGGUGCGGCGAAUACUGAGAUGCUGGAGUGCCGGAGAGGUAAUCGGAAUUCCUGGUGUAGCGGUGAAAUGCGUAGAUAUCAGGAGGAACACCUGCGGUGUAGACGGCUUACUGGACGGUAACUGACGCUGAGGCACGAAAGCGUGGGUAGCAAACAGG